Molecule: unclassified non-coding RNA, 300 nt
Filed under: uncultured Ustilaginales
Lineage: Eukaryota; Fungi; Basidiomycota; Ustilaginomycetes; Ustilaginales
Description: sequence contains 5.8S rRNA gene, ITS2
Rfam family: 5.8S ribosomal RNA (bases 1-76)
Source: RNAcentral
GUGAAUCAUCGAAUCUUUGAACGCACCUUGCGCUCUCCUGGACUUACAUCCGGAGAGCAUGCCUGUCUGAGGGCCGCGAAUACCUUCGAACGACCACUUUUGCAAAAGAGUGGGCGGAUCGGUACUGAGAAGUUUUGCCAUUUGCACUGGCUUUCUCGAAAUACAACAGCUGGACUGCUCAUGCUUGGAGGAGGAGUGCCCUCUCCCUCUGUGAUUUGAUAAUUAUCAACUUUGCAGAGGUGAUGGUGCUUUUUUUCGCCCCAACUGUUGCGGCUGGCUUUGAACCACCCUAUGUGCGCA